RNAcentral lists this unclassified non-coding RNA (207 nucleotides) under uncultured fungus. Its description in RNAcentral is "sequence contains ITS1". Lineage: Eukaryota; Fungi. The record is from RNAcentral.
UUAACUGAUUUAGUUAAUCGCUCAGACUGCAAUCUUCAGACAGAGUUCGAGGGUGUCUUCGGCGGGCGCGGGCCCGGGGGCGUGAGCCCCCCGGCGGCCAGUUAAGGCGGGCCCGCCGAAGCAACAAGGUAAAUAAACACGGGUGGGAGGUUGGACCCAGAGGGCCCUCACUCGGUAAUGAUCCUUCCGCAGGUUCACCUACGGAAA